AUCGUGACGAUGAAGGGAAGAGUAGUUACGUACGCUUUUUACAGAGAGCCGGUAAAGGUGGGAACCGGUAGAGGCGGCGGGAUGAAGAUGGCCCCGGAGUUUUUGCUUCCGAGCAUGCUGUUUGUUAGGGAGCAACGUUUCCCGCGUUAUGGGAUAAGAGCCUGUCCGUUUGUAUUUUUUCUAUAGAAGAUACAAUGAUAGGGAAUUUGGGUGGUACCACGAGAGCUUCUCGUCCCAUGU
This 240-nucleotide non-coding RNA is filed under the name Aneurinibacillus migulanus. Its description in RNAcentral is "T-box sequence". It matches the Rfam family "T-box leader". Rfam says of the family: Uncharged tRNA acts as the effector for transcription antitermination of genes in the T-box leader family. T-boxes are found upstream of many aminoacyl-tRNA synthetase genes and some amino acid biosynthetic genes usually in Gram-positive bacteria. Lineage: Bacteria; Bacillati; Bacillota; Bacilli; Caryophanales; Paenibacillaceae. The record is from RNAcentral.